RNAcentral lists this transfer RNA (65 nucleotides) under Alpheus inopinatus. Its description in RNAcentral is "tRNA-Val". Lineage: Eukaryota; Metazoa; Arthropoda; Malacostraca; Decapoda; Alpheidae. The record is from RNAcentral.
UAGACUGUAGCUUAAUUUAAAGCAACCCACUUACAAUGGGAGGAUCACUGUGUAGUGCUGGCUAA